Molecule: ribosomal RNA, 522 nt
Filed under: Thalassiosira antarctica
Lineage: Eukaryota; Bacillariophyta; Thalassiosirophyceae; Thalassiosirales; Thalassiosiraceae
Description: partial Bacterial large subunit ribosomal RNA
Rfam family: Bacterial large subunit ribosomal RNA
Source: RNAcentral
UAAGUUACUAAGGGCACACAGGGGAUGCCUUGGAUUUGAGAGGCGAUGAAAGACGUGAUAAGCUGCGAUAAGCUGCGGGGAGAAGCAAAUAUUUUGUGAUCCGCAGAUUUCUGAAUGGGGAAACCCGGCUGGUUGAAGACCAGUCACCGAAAGGAGCAAACCUGGAGAACUGAAACAUCUAAGUACCCAGAGGAAGAGAAAACAAUAGUGAUUUCCGGAGUAGCGGCGAGCGAAAUGGAAAUAGCCCAAACCGAAGUUGUUUCGGCAGCUUCGGGGUUGUAGGACUACAAUGUGGACUUAUAGAUUAUAGCGGAAUUAAGUUGGAAAGCUUAACUGUAGAGGGUGAUAGUCCCGUACGCGAAAUAGUCUAUAUACCUAGUAGUAUCCUGAGUAGGGCGGGACAUGUGAAAUCCUGUCUGAAUCUACCGGAACCAUCCGGUAAGGCUAAAUACUCCUCAAAUACCGAUAGCGAACGAGUACUGUGAAGGAAAGGUGAAAAGAACCGUGAAUAACGGAGUGAAA